Phaeosphaeriaceae sp. SRC1lsM3a is the source of this 95-nucleotide non-coding RNA. The record is from the annotation of a GenBank genome assembly. Lineage: Eukaryota; Fungi; Ascomycota; Dothideomycetes; Pleosporales; Phaeosphaeriaceae.
UCUAACAUUCAACAGUGGCUAGGAUUUGCCGCUCUCAAUGAGUAAGCUCGCUUUCAAGCGCCGGCAAGGCCCGGGUUCGAUUCCCGGUGUCGGAA